AGACUCUUGAGUUUGUGGUGAUGGCAGCUGACACGGAGCUGAUCGAAAUCUUCCCCCACCCCCUGUUGCUCCCUGAUGAUAACAAGAUUUGGAAGAUGGGAAUCUGGGGAAUGCGAAGUUGAAGAGACCUGGAGUAUCUAGACUGUGAUUGCCAUUGUAUAUGUGUUAUAUGAUGAUGUAACACAAUGAUUCUGCUAUUGUAUCUUUGUUGUAUGAUGUAUCAAACUGAUUCUGGCUGUUAUGUGAAGUACUACGUGUGUUCUCUAUCUGUUCCCAUUUGAA
Triticum urartu is the source of this 282-nucleotide non-coding RNA. The record is from RefSeq and is a predicted model, not a curated record. NCBI's taxonomy places the organism in Eukaryota, Viridiplantae, Streptophyta, Magnoliopsida, Poales, Poaceae.